This 501-nucleotide ribosomal RNA is filed under the name uncultured Kocuria sp. Its description in RNAcentral is "bacterial SSU rRNA". It matches the Rfam family "Bacterial small subunit ribosomal RNA", at positions 1 to 515 of the family's 1533-position model. The record is from RNAcentral. Lineage: Bacteria; Bacillati; Actinomycetota; Actinomycetes; Micrococcales; Micrococcaceae.
UUAGAGUUUGGAUCCUGGCUCAGGACGAACGCUGGCGGCGUGCUUAACACAUGCAAGUCGAACGAUGAUGCCCAGCUUGCUGGGCGGAUUAGUGGCGAACGGGUGAGUAAUACGUGAGUAACCUGCCCCUGACUCUGGGAUAAGCCUGGGAAACCGGGUCUAAUACUGGAUACGACUCCUCACCGCAUGGUGGGGGGUGGAAAGGGUUUAGUGGUUUUGGAUGGGCUCACGGCCUAUCAGCUUGUUGGUGGGGUAAUGGCUCACCAAGGCGACGACGGGUAGCCGGCCUGAGAGGGUGACCGGCCACACUGGGACUGAGACACGGCCCAGACUCCUACGGGAGGCAGCAGUGGGGAAUAUUGCACAAUGGGCGAAAGCCUGAUGCAGCGACGCCGCGUGAGGGAUGACGGCCUUCGGGUUGUAAACCUCUUUCAGUAGGGAAGAAGCGUAAUAGUGACGGUACCUGCAGAAGAAGCACCGGCUACCUGCGCAGCGACCGGC